This 71-nucleotide transfer RNA is filed under the name Marmota monax (woodchuck). RNAcentral describes it as "tRNA.Ala". Lineage: Eukaryota; Metazoa; Chordata; Mammalia; Rodentia; Sciuridae. The record is from RNAcentral.
GCGGUUGUAGCUCGGUGGAAGAGCACUUGCCUUGCGUGCUUGAGGUCCUGGGUUCGAUCUUCAGCACCACA